RNAcentral lists this ribosomal RNA (253 nucleotides) under uncultured bacterium. RNAcentral's name for it is "partial 16S ribosomal RNA". It matches the Rfam family "Bacterial small subunit ribosomal RNA", at positions 524 to 776 of the family's 1533-position model. The record is from RNAcentral.
UACGUAGGGACCAAGCGUUGUUCGGAUUUACUGGGCGUAAAGGGCGCGUAGGCGGCGCGGUAAGUCACUUGUGAAAUCUCUGAGCUUAACUCAGAACGGCCAAGUGAUACUGCAGUGCUAGAGUGUGGAAGGGGCAAUCGGAAUUCUUGGUGUAGCGGUGAAAUGCGUAGAUAUCAAGAGGAACACCUGAGGUGAAGGCGGGUUGCUGGGCCAACACUGACGCUGAGACGCGAAAGCCAGGGGAGCAAACGGG